Molecule: transfer RNA, 68 nt
Filed under: Nothrotheriops shastensis (Shasta ground sloth)
Lineage: Eukaryota; Metazoa; Chordata; Mammalia; Pilosa; Megatheriidae
Description: tRNA-Thr
Source: RNAcentral
AGUCCCCGUAGUAUAACAAAUUACACUGGUCUUGUAAACCAGAAAUGAAACGCAUGCUUCCGAGGACA